GCUCUAUCAACCAAGUCCUUUCUCCAACGUGAAUUAAAGACCACCUGCGAUGCUCUAGACGACCAAUUCUCAUUGCUUUUAGCCGUACCCUUAUCCUACUCCUCCUCGUUUCCUCUGGUGAUGUAGAGGUGAAUCCAGGCCCUGCAGUGCCGAGCUCCACUCCUAUUCCCCAGGCUCUGGGGCCUGAGAGGGUGGUACGGCUCGUGACAAUACUUGCUGCAACUCCUCCGCUGAGAAGUCUUCCAGUCCCAGGAACCAAAAUACAAGUCUGUAUCAUGUGAGAAUGUGAGCAUACCGCAUACCUAGAUGCACAA
Molecule: long non-coding RNA, 314 nt
Organism: Oncorhynchus masou masou (cherry salmon)
Lineage: Eukaryota; Metazoa; Chordata; Actinopteri; Salmoniformes; Salmonidae
Exons: 3
Source: RefSeq, a predicted model, not a curated record